RNAcentral lists this ribosomal RNA (1151 nucleotides) under Campylobacter jejuni. RNAcentral's name for it is "partial 23S ribosomal RNA". It matches the Rfam family "Bacterial large subunit ribosomal RNA", at positions 17 to 1188 of the family's 2925-position model. Lineage: Bacteria; Pseudomonadati; Campylobacterota; Epsilonproteobacteria; Campylobacterales; Campylobacteraceae. The record is from RNAcentral.
GCGAAUGGUGGAUGCCUUGACUGGUAAAGGCGAUGAAGGACGUACUAGACUGCGAUAAGCUACGGGGAGCUGUCAAGAAGCUUUGAUCCGUAGAUUUCCGAAUGGGGCAACCCAAUGUAUAGAGAUAUACAUUACCUAUAUAGGAGCGAACGAGGGGAAUUGAAACAUCUUAGUACCCUCAGGAAAAGAAAUCAAUAGAGAUUGCGUCAGUAGCGGCGAGCGAAAGCGCAAGAGGGCAAACCCAGUGCUUGCACUGGGGGUUGUAGGACUGCAAUGUGCAAGAGCUGAGUUUAGCAGAACAUUCUGGAAAGUAUAGCCAUAGAGGGUGAUAGUCCCGUAUGCGAAAAACAAAGCUUAGCUAGCAGUAUCCUGAGUAGGGCGGGACACGAGAAAUCCUGUCUGAAUCCGGGUCGACCACGAUCCAACCCUAAAUACUAAUACCAGAUCGAUAGUGCACAAGUACCGUGAGGGAAAGGUGAAAAGAACUGAGGUGAUCAGAGUGAAAUAGAACCUGAAACCAUUUGCUUACAAUCAUUCAGAGCCCUAUGUAGCAAUACAGGGUGAUGGACUGCCUUUUGCAUAAUGAGCCUGCGAGUUGUGGUGUCUGGCAAGGUUAAGCAAACGCGAAGCCGUAGCGAAAGCGAGUCUGAAUAGGGCGCUUAGUCAGAUGCUGCAGACCCGAAACGAAGUGAUCUAUCCAUGAGCAAGUUGAAGCUAGUGUAAGAACUAGUGGAGGACUGAACCCAUAGGCGUUGAAAAGCCCCGGGAUGACUUGUGGAUAGGGGUGAAAGGCCAAUCAAACUUCGUGAUAGCUGGUUCUCUCCGAAAUAUAUUUAGGUAUAGCGUUGUGUCGUAAUAUAAGGGGGUAGAGCACUGAAUGGGCUAGGGCAUACACCAAUGUACCAAACCCUAUCAAACUCCGAAUACCUUAUAUGUAAUCACAGCAGUCAGGCGGCGAGUGAUAAAAUCCGUCGUCAAGAGGGAAACAACCCAGACUACCAGCUAAGGUCCCUAAAUCUUACUUAAGUGGAAAACGAUGUGAAGUUACUUAAACAACCAGGAGGUUGGCUUAGAAGCAGCCAUCCUUUAAAGAAAGCGUAAUAGCUCACUGGUCUAGUGAUUUUGCGCGGAAAAUAUAACGGGGCUAAAGU